Molecule: non-coding RNA, 361 nt
Organism: Paramuricea clavata
Lineage: Eukaryota; Metazoa; Cnidaria; Anthozoa; Malacalcyonacea; Plexauridae
Source: the annotation of a GenBank genome assembly
AAUUGUACGAGCAACAUCGCAUGAUUACUUGUUUAUUAUUAGCAUAUGACAAAAUUGGAUACUUCUCCGCGUCAACAUCAUAUUCUCUCGCCAAAGCCCAGUCCUGCCAGACUUUCAACCAAAAUUUGGUACUUUUGUUAUUUUUUGGUAUUUUCACUUAGUUCCUUUGUUAAAGCAAAAUUUGGUGCUUUUGUUCGUAUUUUCAUCUAGUUCCUCAAGGGCAAUUUCAUUUCACAUUUGUAUUCAAAAUACCUUUCCGCCAUUUUGUUUGUUUUGGGAAAAUCAUUAAUUGUACUGCAGUACAAUUAAUGAAAUAAUUGCACUCCUCUCAACCAAUCAGCAUCCAGUAAUUUUGUCAUGC